RNAcentral lists this ribosomal RNA (253 nucleotides) under uncultured bacterium. RNAcentral's name for it is "partial 16S ribosomal RNA". It matches the Rfam family "Bacterial small subunit ribosomal RNA", at positions 524 to 776 of the family's 1533-position model. The record is from RNAcentral.
UACGUAGGGUGCGAGCGUUAUUCGGAAUUACUGGGCGUAAAGCGCACGUAGUCGGCUUUGCAAGUCGGUUGUGAAAUCCCCGGGCUCAACCUGGGAACUGCAUUUGUGACUGCAUGGCUGGAGUGCGGCAGAGGGGGAUGGAAUUCCGCGUGUAGCAGUGAAAUGCGUAGAUAUGCGGAGGAACACCGAUGGCGAAGGCAAUCCCCUGGGCCUGCACUGACGCUCAUGCACGAAAGCGUGGGGAGCAAACAGG